CGGCGUGCUUAACACAUGCAAGUCGAACGGAAAGGCCCUGCUUUUGUGGGGUGCUCGAGUGGCGAACGGGUGAGUAACACGUGAGUAACCUGCCCUUGACUUUGGGAUAACUUCAGGAAACUGGGGCUAAUACCGGAUAGGAGCUCCUGCUGCAUGGUGGGGGUUGGAAAGUUUCGGCGGUUGGGGAUGGACUCGCGGCUUAUCAGCUUGUUGGUGGGGUAGUGGCUUACCAAGGCUUUGACGGGUAGCCGGCCUGAGAGGGUGACCGGCCACAUUGGGACUGAGAUACGGCCCAGACUCCUACGGGAGGCAGCAGUGGGGAAUAUUGCACAAUGGGCGGAAGCCUGAUGCAGCAACGCCGCGUGCGGGAUGACGGCCUUCGGGUUGUAAACCGCUUUCGCCUGUGACGAAGCGUGAGUGACGGUAAUGGGUAAAGAAGCACCGGCUAACUACGUGCCAGCAGCCGCGGUGAUACGUAGGGUGCGAGCGUUGUCCGGAUUUAUUGGGCGUAAAGGGCUCGUAGGUGGUUGAUCGCGUCGGAAGUGUAAUCUUGGGGCUUAACCCUGAGCGUGCUUUCGAUACGGGUUGACUUGAGGAAGGUAGGGGAGAAUGGAAUUCCUGGUGGAGCGGUGGAUGCGCAGAUAUCAGGAGGAACACCAGUGGCGAAGGCGGUUCUCUGGGCCUUUCCUGACGCUGAGGAGCGAAAGCGUGGGGAGCGAACAGGCUUAGAUACCCUGGUAGUCCACGCUGUAAACGGUGGGUACUAGGUGUGGGGUCCAUUCCACGGGUUCCGUGCCGUAGCUAACGCUUUAAGUACCCCGCCUGGGGAGUACGGCCGCAAGGCUCAAACUCAAAGGAAUUGACGGGGCCCCGCACAAGCGGCGGAGCAUGCGGAUUAAUUCGAUGCAACGCGUAGAACCUUACCUGGGUUUGACAUGGAUCGGGAGUGCUCAGAGAUGGGUGUGCCUCUUUUGGGGUCGGUUCACAGGUGGUGCAUGGCUGUCGUCAGCUCGUGUCGUGAGAUGUUGGGUUAAGUCCCGCAACGAGCGCAACCCUUGUUCACUGUUGCCAGCACGUUAUGGUGGGGACUCAGUGGAGACCGCCGGGGUCAACUCGGAGGAAGGUGGGGAUGACGUCAAGUCAUCAUGCCCCUUAUGUCCAGGGCUUCACGCAUGCUACAAUGGCUGGUACAGAGAGUGGCGAGCCUGUGAGGGUGAGCGAAUCUCGGAAAGCCGGUCUCAGUUCGGAUUGGGGUCUGCAACUCGACCUCAUGAAGUCGGAGUCGCUAGUAAUCGCAGAUCAGCAACGCUGCGGUGAAUACGUUCCCGGGGCUUGUACACACCGCCCGUCAAGUCAUGAAAGUUGGUAACACCCGAAGCCGGUGGCCUAACCGUUGUGGGGGAGCCGUCGAAGGUGGGACUGGUGAUUAGGACUAAGUCGUA
This 1442-nucleotide ribosomal RNA is filed under the name uncultured organism. Its description in RNAcentral is "16S ribosomal RNA". It matches the Rfam family "Bacterial small subunit ribosomal RNA". The record is from RNAcentral.